UAGAGUUUGAUCCUGGCUCAGAACGAACGCUGGCGGCAGGCCUAACACAUGCAAGUCGAACGCUGUACCAAUACAGAGUGGCAGACGGGUGAGUAACACGUGGGAACAUGCCCUUCGGUUCGGAAUAACUCAGGGAAACUUGAGCUAAUACCGGAUACGUCCGCGAGGAGAAAGAUUUAUCGCCGAAGGAUUGGCCCGCGUCUGAUUAGCUAGUUGGUGAGGUAAUGGCUCACCAAGGCGACGAUCAGUAGCUGGUCUGAGAGGAUGAUCAGCCACAUUGGGACUGAGACACGGCCCAAACUCCUACGGGAGGCAGCAGUGGGGAAUAUUGGACAAUGGGCGAAAGCCUGAUCCAGCCAUGCCGCGUGAGUGAUGAAGGCCUUAGGGUUGUAAAGCUCUUUUGCCCGGGAAGAUAAUGACGGUACCGGAAGAAUAAGCCCC
This 441-nucleotide ribosomal RNA is filed under the name uncultured bacterium. RNAcentral describes it as "bacterial SSU rRNA". It matches the Rfam family "Bacterial small subunit ribosomal RNA", at positions 1 to 494 of the family's 1533-position model. The record is from RNAcentral.